RNAcentral lists this long non-coding RNA (288 nucleotides) under Lathyrus oleraceus (garden pea). RNAcentral's name for it is "Pisum sativum (pea) long non-coding RNA (PSAT_LNC013768)". Lineage: Eukaryota; Viridiplantae; Streptophyta; Magnoliopsida; Fabales; Fabaceae. The record is from RNAcentral.
UCAGACUCAAUUGUCAGCCAAUAGUAGCAUGCUCUCAACAUCUUCUUAGCCAUAACAUAUCCAUUGGAAUGAGUACCAAAUCAACCCUCAUGGGCUUCAGUCAUCAACAGGUCUACUUUGUGUCUAUCCAUGCAUCUGAGCAGAACCAAAUCAAAAUUCCUCUUGUAAAGCACAUCACUAUUAAGGUAGAAACUGCCAAAUAAUCUCCUCAAAGUCUUUUUAUCUUUAACAGAUGCCCCAGGCGGGUAAGUCUGGCUUUGAAGAAAACACUUGAUAUCAUAAUACCAC